This 64-nucleotide transfer RNA is filed under the name Callerebia polyphemus. RNAcentral's name for it is "tRNA-Phe". The record is from RNAcentral. RNAcentral also lists the same sequence under 1 other name. Lineage: Eukaryota; Metazoa; Arthropoda; Insecta; Lepidoptera; Nymphalidae.
ACUUAAAUAGCUUAUAAAGAGUUUAAUAUUGAAGAUAUUAAGGAGAUUAAAAAAUCUUUAAGUA